RNAcentral lists this ribosomal RNA (138 nucleotides) under Triticum aestivum (bread wheat). RNAcentral describes it as "partial small subunit ribosomal RNA". Lineage: Eukaryota; Viridiplantae; Streptophyta; Magnoliopsida; Poales; Poaceae. The record is from RNAcentral.
AUGUAAAGUGUUCAAUUAGAACAUGAAAAUGUGACUCAGUUGGUCUUAGUUAGUCUUCGGGAUGGAGUGGAAGAAGGACGAAGACUCUCGAAUGAGGAAAAUGAUCCCUUUGAAACAAUUCACCGAGGAGCCGUAUGA